GGACAUGAUGCUGAUGAUGAU
Molecule: microRNA, 21 nt
Filed under: Picea abies (Norway spruce)
Lineage: Eukaryota; Viridiplantae; Streptophyta; Pinopsida; Pinales; Pinaceae
Description: pab-miR11479
Source: miRBase by way of RNAcentral